GUAGCGUGCCUUUGGGAUCAGGAUUGAUUCAUCGUCUUCUAGUAAGAAAAAGUAGAAAUAUUAUGUCAAUAUCGGUUUGCUUUUCAUAUAAAAUAAUGAGUAAUAAAACGUUAUUCAAAGACAUUAAACAUCUUAUGAUAUCUACUUUUCACACACUAUUUAUUUUUGUCUAAAAACUUUUUUUCUUAUGAAGGAGCUGAUCGAUUUAAAGUAAAAGAGUUGGUAAAACUAAUAAUUUUAUUUAUCGUUUUACAAAAACAUUUCUACAUAAUUAGGUAGUACCCCCUGCUCCCUGCAUAGUAAAGAGCAGGUUUUCUCUAAGGUAGCAAAAUAAUUUGAUUAUUAAUUUUAGUCCAGUAUGAAAGGGGAUAAAAUAAAUGGAAAUUAACACUUUUUUAAAUAGAAUAAACAGUCAAAAUUCUGUUUAGGUUAGGCACUACGAUAAGACCCUAGGAUCUUGAAUUUGUUGGGGAAACACAGUAAGAUUCUUUCUCUUAACCCAUAAAGACAUAGAUACCCUAGGGAUAACAGCAUUAAUUUUACGUAGUUUUUAUACAAUAAGAAUAGUUGACCUCGAUGUUGGAUUGAACUUGAUAAAUAGACUUGUUAGGAUUGUUCAUCCUUAGCUAGUUCAAGUGAUCUGAGUUCAGAACGUUGUAAAACAGUUCAGUUUCAAUAGGCUUUUGGUGUUUCCUUUUUUUUUAGUACGAAAGGAAAAAAAGAAGUUUU
RNAcentral lists this ribosomal RNA (729 nucleotides) under Xiphinema americanum. RNAcentral describes it as "16S ribosomal RNA". The stretch from base 434 to 681 matches the Rfam family "Eukaryotic large subunit ribosomal RNA", at positions 2398 to 2997 of the family's 3401-position model. Lineage: Eukaryota; Metazoa; Nematoda; Enoplea; Dorylaimida; Longidoridae. The record is from RNAcentral.